Molecule: long non-coding RNA, 4362 nt
Filed under: Chelonus insularis
Lineage: Eukaryota; Metazoa; Arthropoda; Insecta; Hymenoptera; Braconidae
Description: uncharacterized LOC118074823
Source: RNAcentral
UACGUUAUUUUUUAGAAACUUGGUCAGCAAAGAAAAAACAAAAAUAUGGUUACUUUCAAAGAUUGUUUGUUAUUGAUAGUAUUUCAAUGUAUUAUUUUUGUUUAGAUUGCAAAAUGAAUGAAAAAUAAAUAUUAGUACCGUGUAAUAUAAACUGGUAAAAGUGAUCUAACCUCAAUCAAAGUGAUAAUAUGUACAACAAUAAAUAUGAGUAAAAGAGAUAAUAAGAAUUUUAAAAGAAAAUAUCCAAUCAGAUGAAAUUCUUGAAUAGAAAAAUAUGAAAAAGAUACAAGUGAAAGAAUCAGAGUAGAAUAGAUUCUUAAAUGGCAUUGCGUGUUUCAUGACGUGUAACAUAACACUUAAAGGCAAGAGACGAUCGAUUCUGCUCAUCUCCAACUAGCAUAUAUUUAGCAUAUCCACUACGAGACUGACAGCGUGUUAUUUCACCAACAAAUAAUACGCAAGAAGCUCAGCAUUGUAACUAUAAGAAAGUAAAAGAGAGAGAAUGACCGUGGCAAAGAAAGGCCACUUGAGUGCCUCGAGGAGGUUAUACCCUUAAAUGCUUUUAAAUACGUGCGAAGAAUGCAUCGAGGAUUUCGAAUAGAGAAUAAAAGGGUAUAGUAAGUCUAUUUUCAACUGGACUCUAUAAGAGACUACCUGCUAAAUUACAAUGAGUGAUCAGUAUUUUUUAUUACAUUUUUCAUCUUCACUGAUUGAUUAUAAGUGGAUUCGCCAUCAAUUAACCCUAGUCUAUCUUGAAAACAAUAUGAAAGGUACUAGGAAUGAUACUGUGAUGAACAAGAGGUGGAUCACGUCAUCAUUAACGAGUCUCUGUCAAAAAAUUGUUAGAUAGAUACUUCCUAAAAAUUAUUUAGUUCUUUUUUUUACAAGGAGUUUCAUGAUUUAACACUUUUCAAUAUCAUCAUUUCAUUCUAUAAUGAAAAAUGGUUGAUCAAAAAUUUUUAUAAACAUUUUUAAAUCAAUUAAAGAAGAGGAAACAUUGAGAAUAAAUAAUUUACUCCAAAAUGUUAGAUAAAGAAAACGAAUUUUUUGUUAUUAAUUUAAAUUAAUUGAUGCAUACAAAAAACAAAGUUUAGUCGACAAUUAAUGACAUAAAAUAUGAAGUGAGUUGUUUGAAGUCUUACAAUUAGUUAUGUAACAAUGGUAUUUACACUGUUAAAGAAUUAUUUAUUUGAAGAGCUUUUAAAAACAUAAGGACUCAUAUAUGUACAAGUGCGAUCUAGUGAUUAUUCAAGUUCCACUUGAAUGUGAAGUGCAUAAUAUACACACACGAAUAAAUCUCACAUGUUUGCAUCGUCGAUUAGUGAAGUGUCGUCAUCAGGAUUAUAGCUGAAUAGGCUUUAAGGAUCUCUUUUUUCCCACUACUUCUAUCCUUUUCUUUGUUCGUCCCUUGAGAUUUCGAGACUACCUUCUACUUCCAUAAUUCACUCGGGAGACUAAGGAGUCCAGGGUUCAGACAAGAAAGCGAAAGAUCUUACAGAUUAGACAUUUGUAAAUAAAUGAAAACCGGUUAUAUGUAAAUUCACACGCCAAAAGUGUCGAAUAAUUAAGUGCACAAAUUUUGAAGGUACUCGAAAUGUCUGGUAAUCCUAAGAAAAAUCUUUGUAUAUUUGUAGAGUCCAUGAGUAAUUAGUGUGACUCUUGAAUUUUUCAAGGUGGUAAAACAGAGUAGAAAAUAUUAUCGGAUUUUGACGUCCACUAGCAAAAACCUUAAGUGCUAUAAUUAGUUAUUCCUUCCAUAAUUUUGCUCAAUUACUCACCAGAAAAAUGAGAAAUAGAUGAAUUUGUGAUUUUCUUAAAAUAAUAAAUUAAAAGAUCAUCUUUUUAAUCCCUAUUUGAAGACUAAUCAAACGUAUACGAAAUACAAUUUUGUGAAUAAGCGAUAAAUCAAGAAAAAAAGGAGAUUAUUAUGCGCAGUCAAAUUUAAUAGGGAUCAAGAUCAUUAUUUUGUAUCAAAAGUAUUAAAGAAUGAAAUAAAAAAAUUUACUACUAAAAAGAAGCUGGGAAUAAGAAGCAAAAAGAUCGGAUUACUAUUAACGCCAUUUAAAGCGACUUACAAAUAAAAAGAUUCUCAUAUAAUUUUAGUCUAACGAUAAACUGACAUGGCUCAUAACUUAUCAAGGAUAUUAUUAAGAAACACUUCAUUUACUGGAUUAACAUAUGUUUAGACUAAUAGCUUUGUUACAUCACUUUUUAAUCACAAAGAGAAGAAAUAUUUAUUUGAAAAGUUAACACCAAUCCAUUUAGACCAAUUAUUUUAACUAAAAAAAAUAUAAAAAAAUUUUUUCUUAUAAAGUAUAGUUACAAGUGCAUCUAAUUCAAUAUUUGCACUUUAAACAAUUAUUAUUCAUCAGGUAUUAGCAGAUAUUGAAAAGGAGUAAAAUUUAACGCCAAAUAUCUGAAAUGCAUUAACAGAUAUCUAGUUACCCGAGUGUCAGAGAUGAAAUUUGUACCAUAAAAUAAUCGAGACAAAUAAUGGAGAACAUGUAUAAUGUGGCAGAGCAGAAUUAAAAAAAAAAUGGAAAAAAAAGGAAAGGAAACGAAGGUGGCCAAGCAAGAGGCAAUUUGAGCUCUCUGUAAAAGUUCAAACUCUGCAUCUCUUGCAUCUUUUGCUUCCCACGGAGUCGCAUCAUUCUACCUUAUCCCCUUGUUCUUCAUUUUUAGGCCCCUCCCUCCCUCUACAUCCUUCAAUGAUCUCUUUCUUCCAUGGAUGUAGUCUUUUACCGUAUACAAGUCCUAUACCAUGAGACUAGUAUCGAAAAAUUUUCUCUGCCUCUUUGAUGCAUUUUAAAUGCCCUUAAAUUUAAGGUUGCCGAAAGAGAUUUUCUGUUUUGACAAAUUUAAGGUUUUGUAAAACUGACCUUAGGAGGAUGUUUAGUUGACGAAAAUUUGUUUCACUUCCUGUGGACUUAUAGAAGAUUUGGAGUCAUGAGAGGAUGGGAAACUAAAUGGAAAUUUAAUUAGCUCUUCUGGUGACACAUCCAGUCAAAAUGAAACUUAAUAUUUACUUAAUUUUUUUUGUUCUCUCAACAGGAACUAAAGAAAAAAGAAUCAGGUGUGACUGUAUAAUAGGUUUAUCAAAUACCAUUUUUGAAGCUGCCUUCAGUGUCUACAUUCCUACAGAAGCUUGGUGUAAAACAAUAUACACUAAAAAAAAAAAUAAAUAUUCGACUAAAUAACUACAAAAAAUGAUUUAGGUAAUCAUAAAAAAUAUUCUUAUACGUUCUAUAAUUUCUUACUGAUAAGUAGUUUUAUGAUAAUCUGAGUCAAGGCAAGUUUUUCUUUCUUUAAUCAAAAUUUUUUUAAACUCUUGGAACAUACAAAAAACUAAGGAAAUAAUUUUUUGCGACUUCACAGUGAAAUUUCAGCAUUUACUGGAGUAAUUUUCUUUUGCUCCAUGUGUAAAAAGUUUUGACACUUACUCCAUAAAACAUUAACGUAAAGAGAUGAUACUUAUACGGCAUCAGAUCAUGGUAAUUUAAGUUAAAGCAUUCGAGCGUGUUUCCAUUUUAACGUGAACUCCAAUCAUUUGUAGUUCCUUGAUAUAGCUAAGAGUUUCCGGCUUAAAAAAAUCAAUAAUUACAUGUUGAAAGUUCUUAUGAAAAAUUUUUAAUAGUUAGCUUGAUUUAAACUCGACGUCAAAAUAUAGAAAAGUCGGUAAAUACAAACAAAAAUAAAGGUUACAAUUAUCCAUGACUUUCCGGUUAGAACCGUGUCAUUCGUAGUCAUCAACAGUUUGGGGGACGGUCACAGGAUAAUGAGGAAAAAGCAGCGUUAACAGAAGUGUCCUAAAAGGUAAAAUAAUUAAUGAACUAGUUGUAUCGGCGUAAUUAUCGAAAUUACAGGUCCAUAUAAUCUAAGUUGUACAAACAAAGAAUUCUAGAGUAAACAUUACUGAGCACCGAAAAAAAGAAUGUCCUGUUGAUGCAACAUGUUGGAGAUUUGUCAACUAUCUUAUAGUUGACAAAAAUUUGAUCAAUUGAUCAAAUUAAAAUAUUGUUUGUGCAUGUUAAAACAUUCUUAUAAAUAUGAAUAUGAGAAAAAAAAAAAAUAAGAAAAGAAAAGUUGGGUGGAGCAUGUUCUGGUGCUGGUUUUAAUGUGGUUUAAGGCGCCUGGAACGUCGUUGAUCGCACGCCCGAUAUGAUCCGCCCCGUCGUUUAACCCCUCUGUUGCUUUGUUAUAAUAUUUGCCCAAGCAAAAUAUAGUAAUUGCAUAUUUGCUUUUAGGUCCCAAUUACUAUACACGUCUACCUCUCGUUUCUCAUCUUUCUUUUCCACUUGAUUCGUCUAUGGAAGAUCUAUAAGACCGCUUCUGUUCUUGUACCGACACCGUAACCAUCAAAAA